RNAcentral lists this ribosomal RNA (500 nucleotides) under uncultured bacterium. Its description in RNAcentral is "bacterial SSU rRNA". It matches the Rfam family "Bacterial small subunit ribosomal RNA", at positions 24 to 518 of the family's 1533-position model. The record is from RNAcentral.
UCAGGAUGAACGCUAGCGACAGGCCUAACACAUGCAAGUCGAGGGGCAGCACAAGGAGCAAUCUGAGGUGGCGACCGGCGCACGGGUGAGUAACACGUAUGCAACCUGCCUGUAAGCGGGGAAUAACCCGUUGAAAGACGGACUAAUACCGCAUAAUACUAAAUUACUGCAUGGUAAUUUAUUUAAACAUUUAUGGCUUACAGAUGGGCAUGCGCAUGAUUAGCUAGUUGGAGAGGUAACGGCUCCCCAAGGCAACGAUCAUUAGGGGUUCUGAGAGGAAGGUCCCCCACACUGGUACUGAGACACGGACCAGACUCCUACGGGAGGCAGCAGUGAGGAAUAUUGGUCAAUGGACGAGAGUCUGAACCAGCCAAGUCGCGUGCAGGAAGAAUUGUCCUAUGGAUUGUAAACUGCUUUUGCAGGGGAAUAAAGUGCAUCACGUGUGAUGUUUUGUAUGUACUCUGCGAAUAAGGAUCGGCUAACUCCGUGCCAGCCGCCGC